RNAcentral lists this unclassified non-coding RNA (3166 nucleotides) under Leishmania donovani. RNAcentral's name for it is "gene:LdHU3.35.6200(CDS-product:chaperone_protein_ DNAj_putative)". Lineage: Eukaryota; Euglenozoa; Kinetoplastea; Trypanosomatida; Trypanosomatidae. The record is from RNAcentral.
CACCCACACGUGCGGCUCCGAGGUACUGUGGUCUCCUUCACUCCUGCUGCUCCCACCCCAAUCGCAUUGUGCGCUUUGGUCGCCACCUCGCACAGGUAACCGCGAAGCAACCCUCUCCUCUGGCGGUCGUGCGUGUUUGUGCGUCUCUUCUGUUGCGCACUGUGCAGAUAGACCUCAGCGCAGACAUAUAUAUAUAUAUAUAUAUCAGGGCACAUUGGCAGCCGUUGUGGUAGCCUGUCCUCUCUAUUUAUCCACCCUCCCCCCCCCUCCCCUCGAGAGCAGGCACACGCAGCGCCAUGGCAGAGGGUGGCAUUGGCGGCAGCGACGAGAGCUUCAUCUCGUUCGCGUUUGCGGUGACGUCGGUCAUUCUCAUUGUGCUCUACAUACCAUGGAUGAUCGGGAAGGCACGCCGGUUAGUGCUCUACUAUCAGUCGACAAAGAAGGAGCAGGCGAGCAUGGUAAACCCAUUGACGGAGCUGUGGGACUCCGCAACGUACAUUCCGCGUGUGCUGCACGCCGUCGCCCAGGACCCAUUGACGAUCGUUGCCGGUGCUAAGGUGUGCACUGCAGAGAAAGUCUUUUUUCUCCGUUGCGUGAUGCCGAAGUUUCUUAAGUUUGUCAUCCGCCCUCGCAUACUGUUGCCGAUAGUUUGGUUUGUACUCUUUUCCUCCGCCAUGUACGCCUCCCUCACAUUCGAUCCGCACGCCAUUCUUGGACUGCCAUCCUCGGCCUCCACCGCUGAGAUUCGGAAGACGUAUCGUGCCCUCUCCAAGCGGUACCACCCCGAUCACAACAAGACGGAAGGCGCCCGUGAGCUGUACGUUCAGGUGCGUCGCGCCUACAAGGCGCUCGUGGACCGUGAAGCAUUUGAGGAGGAGGAGAGACAGACGGUUCAGGAGUUCUCUGUUGGUGUGGCGCUCCCGCGUUUUCUGACUUCUCGCGAGCAUGACGGGCUCGUGCUGUUUGGCCUCCUUGGACUUCUCAUCGGUCUGCCCAUCUACAUCUGGUACACCUUCACAAACGACAAGAAAGUUCCGCGGCUGCUCUGGCACAUCCGCUUCGACAAGGAGCGCGUCGAGCACUUCCUGCAGCACUUCGGCAUCCCUAUCGAUCCCAAGUACGUUGCGCGGCGCAACUCACGCCGCGCCAUUCUGCAGACCCUCGUCGCACUCAACAUCGUGCCACCGAACGUGCGCGAGGACAUUGUGAAUGCGUUUCCUCCGCUCCCCGAUUUCGUGCAGCGGUGCAUCGAGGCCGAGAAGAACGCGGCGUUGUUCCGCAACUUGGGUCUCGAUGCCAAGGCGGUCGGCACUCUGCAGUCGUACAUGGCUGUGAACGGCGUCAAAAUCGUGGACGAGUACGAGGCGGCGAACCCGCUGAAUAGCGAGGAGCCCAAGGCGGACGACUUUCAUCGUAUUCCACUUUCAGCGUAUCGUGCCACCCGCUAUCUCUUCCAGCAGCACACGGUUCAAGUAGACCGUGCGCUGGAGGAGCUUCAGGUGGCGAUGGGCGGCAACGUGCCAAGUGCCAAGAAACUGUUGAAUCUGCAUGAUGAGCUCUACGAUCUGCUCGACAUGGUGUACCUGCGCUCCGAGAAGCCCAACAAGCAACUCGUCAUGAAGCUUAUCGCGGUGCCCCAACGGGUGUCGGACAUUAUCGACGCCAUAGAGCCCGAGUUGCAGCUUGUCUACCACCGAUACUACAAAAACUACAUGAACCAGAUUCAGCAGCAGCAGCGCGCCGCCCGCGGCGGGGGUGCGCGCCAGCACUAGUACGUUUCUCAUCGUCAUGUCUUCCUUUUUUUUGCCCCGCAUCUCAUGAUAGAUCCUCGAUGACGGGAGGGAGGGAACACACCUCAGUGCGGUGGUGUAACAGAGCUCAGUGCCCCAGCCCUUCGGGUGCAUGGGAAGAAGCCAAGCAGCCCCUCCUCCAUCCCCUGCCAAUGCAGCGCUGCACUUCCUCUGGUGCUGACAGGGUCCACGUGCCCACGACGUAGGGAAGCCAGUGCGCUGCAUCGCGACGGAUGUCGGCGGUGUGUCAGGUCCUGGAUGGCGUUGCGUCGGAGCGGCCUGCGGCAGUGCCGACGCGUCUGCGCGGCUCCAGCGCAUCCGUCACCCGGCCCUCACCACCGCCUGCUGGUGUGGGAAGCCUGAGCGUCACCCCCUCCCUCUCCGAGGAGGGAUGCCGCAGGUGGCGGCCGGCAUGAUGGGAGCGGCUGUGAGGCGGCCUGCGAGGCAGCGGGGGGGGGCGGGAGGAGGUCGGUGGAGCUUGAGGCAGGGGGGCCGUGCUCUCGGAUGGCUGAGUCGGCGCGUUGCCGCAAAGCGUGUGUGCCGCGCUGCGUCGCAGGACUCGGUGAGGCCUGUGGCCGGCCGGCGGUGACGCGGAGUGGAGUUUGGCUCGUGUAUGGCAGAGAAUGGGCACGUUGGCGCACAGCAAUGUAAAUACAUAUAUAUAUGUGUCCCAUGCGCAUAGUAGCGGCGGCAGCUGUAGAAGAAAGCGAAGCAAAGAAAAAGGAGGCGAGGCGCACAGAGGGAUCUCUCGAAUGUGCGGUAGUUCUCUGGGACGCUUAGUUUAUAUAUGUAUAUGUGUGUGUGUAUGUGCCGACGUUGGGGAUUUUGUGUAGUGUUUGUGCCGAUGACAUGGUGUGAUUUCUCUUGGGCCUUUUCAUCACCGAUGCGUAGCAGUGAAGGUACGCCUUGUUUGCUAUAACGGAGGGAAGGAGGCGAAAGAGGUGCUGGAGGCACCGCUGAUCAUAGUUCAGCCUGCCACUCCUGUUUCCUUUUUAUCAGCCUCCUUGUUGUGUAACGGGGGAAAGAGAGGCAGAGGGAGGGCUGGGAAUGCACCACUGGCACCGUGAAGCCGAUGCUCUCCUAGAGCACAGGAGUGAUGUACCUCGCACUGUAUCGCACGGCUUCACAAAAGAGGGAUCUGCACCCGCGACGGCGGCGGGUCGUCUCAUUCAUGUGUAACUAAGCGUUUCUUUUCCGUUUAGGCGGCAGCCCUACUUCGAAUCUGUCCCCACGCAUCGCUGGACCUACUUCCUUGACGCAGAUGUCGCUCAUCUUCGGCGCUUUUUUUUCUUCGUCAUGAUCGUCACCCUCACGCCACUCUCCCCCUCUCCUUCCCCCCCCACACACACACUUGAUGCACAUGCACACAUGAGAAG